CUUAACACAUGCAAGUCGCACGAGAAAGGGCUUCGGCCCCGGUAAAGUGGCGCACGGGUGAGUAACACGUGGAUAACCUUCCCUCAGGCGGGGGAUAACACUCCCAUAGGAGUGCUAACAGACGCCAAAAGACCACGUCCUCCAUAGAGGAUGAGGUCAAAGCCGGCCUCUACAGACAAGCUGGCACCUGAGGAUGGGUCCACGGCCCAUCAGGCAGUUGGCGGGGUAAUGGCAAACAACCUAAGACGGGUAGCUGGUCUGAGAGGAUGAUCAGCCACGCUGGAACUGAGACACGGUCCAGACUCCUACGGGAGGCAGCAGUGGGGAAUCUUGCGCAAUGGACCAUAGUCUGACGCAGCGACGCCGCGUGGGUGAUGAAGGCCUUCGGGUUGUAAAGCCCUGUGGGGCGGGACACGGGUAGUAGAAGCUAACACCUUCUAUGAUGACGGUACCGCCUUAGCAAGCACCGGCUAACUCUGUGCCAGCAGCCGCGGUAAGACAGAGGGUGCAAACGUUGUUCGGAAUUACUGGGCGUAAAGCGUGUGUAGGCGGCCGUAAAAGUCGGAUGUGAAAGCCCCAGGCUCAACCUGGGAAGUGCACCCGACAGAUGUACGGCUAGAGUAUCGGAGAGGUUGGUGGAAUUCUCGGUGUAGAGGUGAAAUUCGUAGAUAUCGAGAGGAACACCGGCGGCCAUAGCGGCCAACUGGACACGGGACUGACGCUGAGACACCAUAGCGUGGGGAGCUAACAGGAUUAGAU
This 759-nucleotide ribosomal RNA is filed under the name uncultured bacterium. RNAcentral describes it as "bacterial SSU rRNA". It matches the Rfam family "Bacterial small subunit ribosomal RNA", at positions 47 to 783 of the family's 1533-position model. The record is from RNAcentral.